CCUACGGGGGGCUGCAGUAAGGAAUAUUGGUCAAUGGAGGACACUCUGAACCAGCCAUCCCGCGUGAAGGAUGAAGGGGCUCUGCCUUGUAAACUUCUUUUGUCUGGGGCGAAAAAGCUCGAUUUAUCGAGAACUGACGGUACCAGACGAAUAAGCACCGGCUAACUCCGUGCCAGCAGCCGCGGUAAUACGGAGGGUGCAGGCGUCACCCGGAAUAAAUGGGGCGUAGGGGUCCUAGGAAGGCAUUGGAGAAAGGCUGUGGCUUAACCAUGGAAUUGCCAUUGAUACUGCAGAGCUUGAAUGAGGUUGAGGUUGGCGGAAUGUGACAUGUAGCGGUGAAAUGCUUAGAUAUGUCAUGGAACACCGAUUGCGAAGGCAGCUGACUGGACCUAUAUUGACGCUGAGGCACGAAAGCGUGGGGAGCGAACAGGAUUAGAUACCCCUGUAGUC
This 450-nucleotide ribosomal RNA is filed under the name uncultured bacterium. Its description in RNAcentral is "partial 16S ribosomal RNA". It matches the Rfam family "Bacterial small subunit ribosomal RNA", at positions 338 to 795 of the family's 1533-position model. The record is from RNAcentral.